AUUGAACGCUGGCGGAAUGCUUUACACAUGCAAGUCGAACGGUAGAGGGGGCAACCCCUCGAGAGUGGCGAACGGGUGAGUAAUAUAUCGGAACGUGCCCAGUCGUGGGGGAUAACGUAGCGAAAGUUACGCUAAUACCGCAUACGAUCUAAGGAUGAAAGCGGGGGAUCGCAAGACCUCGCGCGAUUGGAGCGGCCGAUAUCAGAUUAGGUAGUUGGUGGGGUAAAGGCUCACCAAGCCAACGAUCUGUAGCUGGUCUGAGAGGACGACCAGCCACACUGGAACUGAGACACGGUCCAGACUCCUACGGGAGGCAGCAGUGGGGAAUUUUGGACGAUGGACGCAAGGCUGAUCCAGCCAUUCCGCGUGCAGGGUGAAGGCCCUCGGGUUGUAAACUGCUUCUGUACGGAACGAAAAGGUCUCUCUUAAUACGGGGGACUCAUGACGGUACCGUAAGAAUAAGCACCGGCUAACUACGUGCCAGCCGCCGCGGUAA
RNAcentral lists this ribosomal RNA (496 nucleotides) under uncultured bacterium. RNAcentral describes it as "partial 16S ribosomal RNA". It matches the Rfam family "Bacterial small subunit ribosomal RNA", at positions 30 to 523 of the family's 1533-position model. The record is from RNAcentral.